UUCACAGCCUUCCAAGCCAGAACGCGGCAGCAAAACGCGAUUGGCUGGGGUUGCCUGUCUGGCCUUAUUUAGAAAGCUCUCGAGGAACUGGGAACCUCGAGCGUGGAACCUAGAGUUUGCUUGGCGUUUUGAGGACUGGCUGCCUGGCUACACUGCGGUUCUGGUCAAGCCGAGCAUUUAAAGGGACACGGAAGUUUGUCCUGCUGAGGAGGCAGUCAGGGGCGGCUCCAUCUUGGGCCUACGGGUUUAUUUCACCUGUGCCUUCAAACUUUUAUUAACGUAUUCCAAGUGCAUUUGUGGAAGACGUACUGGACGGGUCAGCGUAGAUGGUGUGGAGCAGGAAAGGUUCGUGCAGCCUAGUGGGUAACUUCACUGCUGCCUUCACAAGCCUGUCCUGGAGACCAGCACUUAAACAAUUAACUUGUAACACGGAGAUGCUCACUGAUAUAUUCUGAGAAUUCUGUCAGUGCCCACUAUGUGCCAGGGAGACAAAGAGUCCGCUUGAGACAGAGGCGUUAAAAAAAACAAAUAAUGACAAAACCAGUUAUUUUCCUCAUGGAGUAGAGAGAAGAGUAGCAGUCUGAAUGAGUCACUUCUUGUCCUAUGCAGAAGCUGGAGGUUUCAGAAGUCUACAUAAGCAUUUAUGGGGAAUAUUGCAGAGAUGUGAUCCAUGGGUCAUGUGGAUUCCUGCUUGAGACCAGGUUAUCAGCAAAGAAGAGAGCGUCCAAGGUAGGGAGAUGUGGAUUUUCCAAGAUACCAAGCUUCUCUAUACCUGUGGAGGCUGAUCUUCUCUUCUUAGAAAGGUGGCAGUUGUUCUGAUCCAGCCAGUGUACCUGUUAUAACAAGAAGUUGUUGCUAAAUUUACUUUCCGUGUUAUUAUUUCAGUGGUUCAUUUGGAGGCCUCCUCUGGUACUGAGCAUGGCCUCAACUUGGGAACUACUCAUGUUCCAAAUAUAAUGGUUUUCAAACUUCAUCUUGACUGAACAAUUCUUUGUUCAAAGAAGAACUUAGAAAGAUGCUCAAUAAAUAAAGAAGAGGAACUGUUGUUGUUGAUUUU
This 1057-nucleotide long non-coding RNA is filed under the name Felis catus (domestic cat). RNAcentral describes it as "lncRNA (ENSFCAG00000049532.1)". The record is from RNAcentral. Lineage: Eukaryota; Metazoa; Chordata; Mammalia; Carnivora; Felidae.